GGGUCCUACGGGACGCAGCAGUGGGGAAUAUUGCACAAUGAGGGAAACCCUGAUGCAGCGACGCCGCGUGAGUGAAGAAGUAAUUCGUUAUGUAAAUCUCUAUCAGCAGGGAAGAAAAUGACGGUACCUGAGUAAGAAGCCCCGGCUAACUACGUGCCAGCAGCCGCGGUAAUACGUAGGGGGCAAGCGUUAUCCGGAUUUACUGGGUGUAAAGGGAGCGUAGACGGCAGUGCAAGUCUGGAGUGAAAGGCG
RNAcentral lists this ribosomal RNA (252 nucleotides) under uncultured bacterium. Its description in RNAcentral is "partial 16S ribosomal RNA". It matches the Rfam family "Bacterial small subunit ribosomal RNA", at positions 334 to 603 of the family's 1533-position model. The record is from RNAcentral.